This 699-nucleotide ribosomal RNA is filed under the name Microbacterium hydrocarbonoxydans. RNAcentral's name for it is "bacterial SSU rRNA". It matches the Rfam family "Bacterial small subunit ribosomal RNA", at positions 17 to 734 of the family's 1533-position model. The record is from RNAcentral. Lineage: Bacteria; Bacillati; Actinomycetota; Actinomycetes; Micrococcales; Microbacteriaceae.
UCCUGGCUCAGGAUGAACGCUGGCGGCGUGCUUAACACAUGCAAGUCGAACGGUGAACACGGAGCUUGCUCUGUGGGAUCAGUGGCGAACGGGUGAGUAACACGUGACAACCUGCCCCUGACUCUGGGAUAAGCGCUGGAAACGGCGUCUAAUACUGGAUACGAACCAUGAAGGCAUCUUCAGUGGUUGGAAAGAUUUAUUGGUUGGGGAUGGGCUCGCGGCCUAUCAGCUUGUUGGUGAGGUAAUGGCUCACCAAGGCGUCGACGGGUAGCCGGCCUGAGAGGGUGACCGGCCACACUGGGACUGAGACACGGCCCAGACUCCUACGGGAGGCAGCAGUGGGGAAUAUUGCACAAUGGGCGCAAGCCUGAUGCAGCAACGCCGCGUGAGGGAUGACGGCCUUCGGGUUGUAAACCUCUUUUAGCAGGGAAGAAGCGAAAGUGACGGUACCUGCAGAAAAAGCGCCGGCUAACUACGUGCCAGCAGCCGCGGUAAUACGUAGGGGCAAGCGUUAUCCGGAAUUAUUGGGCGUAAAGAGCUCUAGGCGGUUUGUCGCGUCUGCUGUGAAAUCCGGAGGCUCAACCUCCGGCCUGCAGUGGGUACGGGCAGACUAGAGUGCGGUAGGGGAGAUUGGAAUUCCUGGUGUAGCGGUGAAUGCGCAGAUAUCAGGAGGAACACCGAGGCGAAGGCAGUCUGGGC